CCUACGGGGCGCAGCAGUGGGGAAUAUUGGACAAUGGGCGAAAGCCUGAUCCAGCCAUGCCGCGUGUGUGAAGAAGGCCUUCGGGUUGUAAAGCACUUUCAGUGGGGAAGAAAGCCUUGGGGCUAAUACCCUCGAGGAAGGACAUCACCCACAGAAGAAGCACCGGCUAACUCCGUGCCAGCAGCCGCGGUAAUACGGAGGGUGCGAGCGUUAAUCGGAAUUACUGGGCGUAAAGCGCGCGUAGGCGGUCUGAUAAGCCGGUUGUGAAAGCCCCGGGCUCAACCUGGGAACGGCAUCCGGGCGGUCGGGGGAGGGGGCGGGAGAGGAGGGUAAAAUCCCGGGGGUAGCGGUGAAAUGCGUAGAGACCGGGAGGAAGAGGGGGGACGAAGGCGGCCUUCUGGAGUAACACUGACGCUGUGGUGCAAAAGCGUGGCUAGCAAACGGGACUAGAUACCCGAAAGUC
Molecule: ribosomal RNA, 463 nt
Filed under: Vreelandella stevensii
Lineage: Bacteria; Pseudomonadati; Pseudomonadota; Gammaproteobacteria; Oceanospirillales; Halomonadaceae
Description: partial 16S ribosomal RNA
Rfam family: Bacterial small subunit ribosomal RNA
Source: RNAcentral